RNAcentral lists this ribosomal RNA (1113 nucleotides) under Triticum aestivum (bread wheat). RNAcentral's name for it is "partial small subunit ribosomal RNA". Lineage: Eukaryota; Viridiplantae; Streptophyta; Magnoliopsida; Poales; Poaceae. The record is from RNAcentral.
AUGGAUCCAAAAAUCCGCUCUGUGAUUCCAUAUCCAUGUCAAAUAAUCAGGCUCUGUUUGUUUGGUUGCGGGUGUGACAUAAUCGGUUGUGGGCUAGUUGUAGUGGCAAAUAUACUGUGGCAAGGGAGUUAUGCUUUCCAAAAUGUGUUUGACCAAGUGAUCAGCUUAGAGAAAGAAAGACACACCACUCUUCCACCACUUCCACCCGAUGCCCAACCUCCCCCGAUCUCGCUGCCGCCCCCCGCUUCCCCUGCCUUCCGGCGCCGCCGCCCCCCGCUUACCCUGCCACACGGCGCCGCCGCCCCCCGCUUCCCCUGCAUCCAGGCGCUGCCGCCCUCCCGCUUCCCCUGCCCCGAGGCGCCACUGACCCAACCUCCCGCGUGCCACCUGACUUCCUUCCCCCGCCGCCCCUUGCUCCGGUGGGCCUCCCACCGCUACCAACCGGCGUCGGAACCGUCCCUCGCCCUGGAUCGCACCGCCGUCACUGCCCACGAUGGGGAUCGCGCCACAGGCACCGUCCCACGAUGGGGAUCGAGCCGCAGGCACCGUCCCAUGAUGGGGAUCGCGCCACUGCAACCGCAUCGCCCCACCGUCGGGAUCCUGCUGCCGCGCGACAACCACCGGGAUCCUCCCACCGUGCGACCUUCCUUCACCUGCCACCGUGAACUUCUUCCACCCUCCACCGCGGUCGCUACUCACGCCGCGCGCGUGUGGCGGUGGACGGACGCGAUGGUUUCCUUUGACAUGAACGACCGCAAAGAGUACGUCACUUCCCAGCCGCCCCCUCUCCCUGUGUCUCCUCCUAGCGUGAUUCAUGUGUCGUUCGUUGCGAGAUUGGGAGGUGGCUCGUCGGAUGCUGUUGCCGUGGAUGACGAUGAUCUCGUUCUCGAUAGGAGAAUGAAGAGACACAGGAGAGGGGACGAGGAUCAUGUGCUCACCGUGCAACACAGCGUCACCUCUUCGCUCCGGAGCGUCGGGAUUCUUGCUAGAGAGCAUUCAGUGUCGGAUUUCCUAAUGUGUAUUGUCCUUCUUUCAUUUGUGGUCCACUGUUUGCUGUUGUUGGUUUACAGGGGAGCACAAAAAAUGCAGUUGACCGAGGGCCAUGGUUGUUGA